Non-coding RNA from Myodes glareolus (Bank vole), 1187 nucleotides. The record is from RefSeq and is a predicted model, not a curated record. NCBI's taxonomy places the organism in Eukaryota, Metazoa, Chordata, Mammalia, Rodentia, Cricetidae.
GCACACAUAUAUACACAUGGAUGUACAUAUACACAUUUAUGUACAUACUCAUAGUUGUAUAUUUGCACACAUACAUAUGCAGAGAUGUGUAAUACACAUUUACAUGCACAUACAUGCACAAUACAUAUUUACAUACACAUUUAUGUAUACACUUUUACAUAUAUACAUGUACACAAUAUAUGCAUACACGUAGAUGUACACACACAUAUAUACACACAUAUACGUACGCAUGUGUAGCCAUGGUAGUCAGCUAAGAGACACACUGCUAGACAGCCUGCAAGGACUUUUCUGAUCAUGCUCUUUGAAGAGGAUGGCCCACCCUAAGUAUGGGCGGCCUCUCAUUGCCAGCCUAGAGAAAGAGAGUUCCUCUGGAAAACGUUCUGGUUUUGGCCUCAUUGCCAUACUAUCUUGCUGGUGAGUUCAUCUACCCCAUCGCUGCCACUGUUGCCACUGCUGUGGCAGCAGUGACAUCUCUUCACUGAUGUCAGAACUAAAUCCAUUGCAUUCUCAUGUGCGCUGAAAACCAGGGCUCUCCAGGAAUCUCCCAGGCCUUCAGCACAGGUUGGGACAACCGAGUCAUCCAGUUUGUGGGCCGAGCGGCUACUGAGUUCUCAGCUUCUUGUCCAGUAUGCAGACAGCUACUGUUACAGCCAAGACCACAUCGUGACUGGAGACUCCAGCUGCUGUGGAAAUUCUAACGCUCUCCAAAGAGCCCCUACUGCAUCAGAGAUCACCAAGCUGCAGGUACAGACUGUGCUUCCUGUCACUGCCACAGCAUCUGUGCACUGCAAUCCCAGGACCUCGGAGACUGUGCGAGAAACCUUGAAGAAUUUUUAAGUUGUUGGACUUUUUGUCCUUUCAUUUAACGUCAAGGCAGCAGGCGAGCUGCCUGUGAAAGUUGCUGUGGUCAUCGUGUCUCUUCUCAGCAAUAGCAACCCUAACUGAGAUAUAUUCCACGGGCUGGAAUCCUGGACUAAAUAUAAAGGAAAAGUGAGUUGAGCAGCAGCGCCUCUCUGCUUCCUGCCUGUGGAUGCCUCAAGCUUCUGACACCAUGACUUCCCUUCUGGGAGGGAUGUACCCUGGAACUGUGAGGUCAAACAAGCCCUUGCUUCAUUUUCAGUUGCUUUGGUAGGCAUCUUAAUCACACCGAUGGGGAAUGUCAGCCAAUUCUUUCUUUUCCCUCAAAA